RNAcentral lists this ribosomal RNA (495 nucleotides) under uncultured bacterium. Its description in RNAcentral is "bacterial SSU rRNA". It matches the Rfam family "Bacterial small subunit ribosomal RNA", at positions 31 to 518 of the family's 1533-position model. The record is from RNAcentral.
GAACGCUAGCGACAGGCUAACACAUGCAAGUCGAGGGUACAGGGUAGCAAUACCGCUGACGACCGGCGGCACGGGUGAGUAACGCGUAUGCAACCUGCCUAUAAACUGGGGAAUAGCUCCCUGAAAGGGGAAUUAACACCGCAUAACACUAUUGAUUCGCAUGGAUUGGUAGUUAAAUGUAGCGAUACAGGUUAUAGAUGGGCAUGCGUGACAUUAGCUAGUUGGUGAGGUAACGGCUCACCAAGGCUACGAUGUCUAGGGGUUCUGAGAGGAAGGUCCCCCACACUGGUACUGAGACACGGACCAGACUCCUACGGGAGGCAGCAGUGAGGAAUAUUGGUCAAUGGGCGCAAGCCUGAACCAGCCAUGUCGCGUGCAGGAAGAACCUGCCCUAUGGGUUGUAAACUGCUUUUAUAGUAGAAGAAACACAUCUACGUGUAGAUGUCUGCCAGUAUACUAUGAAUAAGCAUCGGCUAACUCCGUGCCAGCCGCGGC